GUUCAGCGCCUGUCAUACCACCGUCUCUGCACUUCUGCACCAGCCUCACAGCUACAGGUUUCCUGGCGAGUGAAGAAACCUGCACGACGCGCCCUGCAGUACGUCGACUUAGCUUCCCCAGCCUUGGCCAUUAGUCAAGUGCGGCGGAUUUUCCUGCGUCCCAGACGCAUGAUGUUCAGCGCCUGUCAUACCACCGUCUGUGCACUUCUGCUCCAGCCUCACAGCUACAGGUUUCCUGGCGAGUGAAGAAACCUGCACGACGCGCCCUGCAGUACGUCGACUUAGCUUCCCCAGCCUUGGCCAUUAGUCAAGUGCGGCGGAUUUUCCUGCGUCCCAGACGCAUGAUGUUCAGCGCCUGUCAUACCACCGUCUGUGCACUUCUGCUCCAGCCUCACAGCUACAGGUUUCCUGGCGAGUGAAGAAACCUGCACGACGCGCCCUGCAGUACGUCGACUUAGCUUCCCCAGCCUUGGCCAUUAGUCAAGUGCGGCGGAUUUUCCUGCGUCCCAGACGCAUGAUGUUCAGCGCCUGUCAUACCACCGUCUGUGCACUUCUGCUCCAGCCUCACAGCUACAGGUUUCCUGGCGAGUGAAGAAACCUGCACGACGCGCCCUGCAGUACGUCGACUUAGCUUCCCCAGCCUUGGCCAUUAGUCAAGUGCGGCGGAUUUUCCUGCGUCCCAGACGCAUGAUGUUCAGCGCCUGUCAUACCACCGUCUGUGCACUUCUGCUCCAGCCUCACAGCUACAGGUUUCCUGGCGAGUGAAGAAACCUGCACGACGCGCCCUGCAGUACGUCGACUUAGCUUCCCCAGCCUUGGCCAUUAGUCAAGUGCGGCGGAUUUUCCUGCGUCCCAGACGCAUGAUGUUCAGCGCCUGUCAUACCACCGUCUGUGCACUUCUGCUCCAGCCUCACAGCUACUGGUUGUCUGGCGAAUGAAGAAACCUGCACUUCCGGUCCUUCAGUACGUCGACUUAGCUCUUCACAUCUGCAGCCCGUCAAGAUCUCUCUCUCCUGCGUAGUAGGCGACCAAAUCUGGUGCUCACCGUAGUGCGGCCAGCCCUGCGUUCGCGACAGUUCAUCACAUUUCUAGGCCCGAUGACGUUGAGCUGCAUGGAAAAGUCCAUCUCUGCGUGAUUUGUGAUGUCUCCGCGACGCUGCACAUCUACGGAUUCAUGAGGGGAACACCGACAACGACAUCCCUGCGAAAG
Dermacentor albipictus is the source of this 1210-nucleotide long non-coding RNA. RefSeq lists it as uncharacterized. Lineage: Eukaryota; Metazoa; Arthropoda; Arachnida; Ixodida; Ixodidae. The record is from RefSeq and is a predicted model, not a curated record.